This is a long non-coding RNA of Rattus rattus (black rat), 1989 nucleotides long. RefSeq lists it as uncharacterized. The transcript is spliced from 3 exons. NCBI's taxonomy places the organism in Eukaryota, Metazoa, Chordata, Mammalia, Rodentia, Muridae. The record is from RefSeq and is a predicted model, not a curated record.
GUACAGGCUGAACCAUAGCUCUCUAUGUAGCCCAGGCUAGCCUCAAACUCAGGAACCUCCCUUGUUAGCCUCUUACGGGUGUGAGCCACCAUGCCCGCUUUCUUAUUGAAUGUUUAGAAACAACAGUGCUUUGUUGCUCUUGUGACUGCACCAUAGCAGGUACUGAGCUUGGAGGCAAAAAAAUCCCUAGGGAUUCCGAGAAAGCUUUAUUGACAGGAGGCAACUUUAUUUGGCUCCCUAAGAAUGGGGGCUAAAAAAUAUCCAGAAAGCAAGCCCAGGGGAGGAAAAGAGUCCUGGAAGCAGGAGUGUUCUCAAAUGUUCUCAGGACACUAGGACUUGGGGAGCAAGAACAUUUGGGAGGAAGACUUGGCUAUCCAUGAAAGCAAGUGGCUGCCUAUCUAGCUGUAUCCACUUAGUAAAGCAGGAAACGAGCAGCAUCUAUAGGAUAUUAGCUUGUUUCUGCUACAUAAAUGGAGUGAUUCAGACAAAUUUCACUGAGGGAAACACAGUGGUUUUGAUAGAACAGCUGUAAGCCAUUCGCUAAUCUAAAACUUGGUUGCCUACUAACAGAGCUGCGUCUGACACUGCCCAGGUAAGUGGUCCUGUAGUGACUGGUGGGAACUGGAAAGAAACAGCAAUUGAGCAGCUCCAUUAGCCUAGUAGUUAGCUUGGCUGGUAGAGUGGCUUGCCUAGCAAGCACACACAAGAAAGACCCUGGGUUCAAUAACAGUACCAGGGGGAAAAAACAGGUUCCAGAUCUAACCUCUGCUUUUCAUGGAAAGAAAGCAAACAUGAUGUUUUAAUCAAGAGAGUGGCAAUUCAGGCUAGGGGUGUAGCCCAGCCUGUAGAGUGCUUGUGCAGUGUGCACAGAGACCUGGGACUGAUUCUCUAGUCCAUACAACCCGAGGUGUGUUGGUUCUCUCCUGGAAUCUCAGCACUUAGGAGACACUGGUUAGGUGAAUCUGAAAUUCUAGGCCAGCCUGGGCUACACAGUGAGUUUCAGGCUAGUUUGGGCUAUAUGAUUCCAUAUCAUAUAGGUUGAUAAAUAUGGUUGAUUGAAUAUUAGAGUGAAAUAGAAGGCUGACAGUAUAUAUAAGCCCUGUCAUUUGUCAUGCUGGGAUGCUUGGAAAUAUUCGGAAUCAAAUAGUAACUGGACUACUUACUCAGAAAUGUAGUUCUUAAAAAAGAGAUUAUUUAUUUAUUUAUUUAUUUACUUGCUUACAUUUUGCACGACUGAGUAUUUUUACCUGCAUGAUUGUGUCUAUAUAUUCCUGGUACUUGACCAAGCCAGAAGAGGGUGCCAGACGUGGGCACUGAGAACUGAACCGGGGUCCUCCAAAAGAGCAGAAAGUGCUCUUGACUGCUUAGCCAUCUCUCCAGUCUUAGCCCUGAUCCCUAGCCUCUCUUUCCCCCCCACUAAAAACUGGUUUUACUAUGUAGUUGUAGUGGGCCUGGAACUCAGAGAAAUCCUCCUGUCUCUGUCUCCCUAGUGUUGGAGACAUAACAGGUACUUGUUACCAUGCCAGACGAGUCAGCCAUUCCUGUGAAUUCCUCCAUUUUAUACACUGCCUUACAGCUGAGGGCUUCUUUCCCAGCAGCUCCUGGAAGACAGAGAUCACAUGUCUGGCACACAGAACGAUCACAUUUAAGAGACAAGCAAAAUAAAAAUGGGAGGAAACGCUGAUAAGGUUUCAGCUGUAGCAGAAGGAAAGGGUACUUUGGAAGUGAAUUCAUAUGGGAGACGGUCCCAAAAGGCCUGAGCAAGUAGCUAACUCUUCUGAUGUCGCGGAGAUAAAACACUCGCUCCUCUAGGCCAGUGUGUGGAAACCUGGGAACAGAUCGAAGCCACAUGGAAGGCUGAGUGCGGUUAUUGCAAAGUGUUGAAAAGUCCUGGGCCUUUUCUGAGAUAGUGGCAAAGUGCUGAGGGUUGACAGGCAAGUUCCACCUUGGGAGCAGAGGUCAGAUGUGAGAAGCACAAACAGAAUUCAA